GGGGGGGGGGGGGGGGGGGGGGGGGGGGGGGGGGGGGGGCGGAGGGGGUGUGCGGGAGCGUGGUGCACCGGGGGCUGGGAGUUGCGGACGGGUGAGUAACGCGUAGGUAACCUGCCUGGGAGCGGGGGAUAACUAUUGGAAACGAUAGCUACUACCGCCUAAUAUUAAUUAUUGCAUGAUAAUUAAUUGAAAGGUGCAAUUGCACCACUACCAGAUGGACCUGCGUUGUAUUAGCUAGUAGGUGAGGUAACGGCUCACCUAGGCGACGAUACAUAGCCGACCUGAGAGGGUGAUCGGCCACACUGGGACUGAGACACGGCCCAGACUCCUACGGGAGGCAGCAGUAGGGAAUCUUCGGCAAUGGACGAAAGUCUGACCGAGCAACGCCGCGUGAGUGAAGAAGGUUUUCGGAUCGUAAAGCUCUGUUGUAAGAGAAGAACGGGUGUGAGAGUGGAAAGUUCACACUGUGACGGUAUCUUACCAGAAAGGGACGGCUAACUACGUG
This 505-nucleotide ribosomal RNA is filed under the name uncultured bacterium. RNAcentral's name for it is "partial 16S ribosomal RNA". It matches the Rfam family "Bacterial small subunit ribosomal RNA", at positions 27 to 507 of the family's 1533-position model. The record is from RNAcentral.